UACGGAGGAUGCAAGCGUUAUCCGGAUUUAUUGGGUUUAAAGGGUACGUAGGCGGAAAAUUAAGUCAGUAGUGAAAUCCUGCAGCUUAACUGUAGAACUGUUAUUGAUACUGGUUUUCUUGAAUAUAGUUGAGGUAGGCGGAAUGUGUAAUGUAGCGGUGAAAUGCUUAGAUAUUACACAGAACACCGAUUGCGAAGGCAGCUUACUAAGCUAUGAUUGACGCUGAGGUACGAAAGCGUGGGGAGCGAACAGGAUUAGAUACCCCCGUA
This 269-nucleotide ribosomal RNA is filed under the name uncultured prokaryote. RNAcentral describes it as "partial 16S ribosomal RNA". It matches the Rfam family "Bacterial small subunit ribosomal RNA", at positions 524 to 792 of the family's 1533-position model. The record is from RNAcentral.